GAAGACGUGUUGAAAGUGGUAGCCAAGUCUUUUUUAAGCAGAGAUGGAAUUAUUUCCGUGAGAGUUCGAGUCUCUCUGUCUUCA
Molecule: transfer RNA, 84 nt
Filed under: Serendipita indica DSM 11827
Lineage: Eukaryota; Fungi; Basidiomycota; Agaricomycetes; Sebacinales; Serendipitaceae
Description: transfer RNA-Leu(TAA)
Rfam family: tRNA
About the family: Transfer RNA (tRNA) molecules are approximately 80 nucleotides in length. Their secondary structure includes four short double-helical elements and three loops (D, anti-codon, and T loops).
Source: RNAcentral